GGAUGCGAGGACGAUCUGACUGUGACAUCUGUCACCCCGUUGAUCGCCAGGGUUGAUUUGGCCCAUCUGGCUGGUUAGGCGGGUGUCCUCUUCCUUCCUUACUGCUCCACAUGCAUCCCUCCUGAAGCUGCUCACUCAAAGAGGUCAACCUUCCCCAACAGAGGAGGACUGUUCUUCCGUCAAGAGUAUUGGAAUAGCCGUAUUCCCCGCUAGGACCUCAAACAAGUUCUCAGGGGCCAUUUGUAGGAGGAUGUAGGGUAGUUAAGCUUCCAUAUUCCAGACACACCCAAAUGAGGGUCUGUGGCACCCAAAUGUGGCAGUCUGCCUUUCUUA
Molecule: unclassified non-coding RNA, 333 nt
Organism: Neogale vison (American mink)
Lineage: Eukaryota; Metazoa; Chordata; Mammalia; Carnivora; Mustelidae
Gene: 7SK
Rfam family: 7SK RNA
About the family: 7SK was discovered as an abundant small nuclear RNA in the mid-70s but a possible function has only recently been suggested. Two independent studies have found that 7SK RNA binds the CDK9/cyclin T complex (known as elongation factor P-TEFb). P-TEFb activates transcription by phosphorylating the C-terminal domain of RNA polymerase II.
Source: Ensembl